GAUUGAACGCUGGCGACAUGCCUUACACAUGCAAGUCGAACGGCAGCACGGGUGCUUGCACCUGGUGGCGAGUGGCGAACGGGUGAGUAAUACAUCGGAACAUGUCCUGUAGUGGGGGAUAGCCCGGCGAAAGCCGGAUUAAUACCGCAUACGAUCUACGGAUGAAAGCGGGGGACCUUCGGGCCUCGCGCUAUAGGGUUGGCCGAUGGCUGAUUAGCUAGUUGGUGGGGUAAAGGCCUACCAAGGCGACGAUCAGUAGCUGGUCUGAGAGGACGACCAGCCACACUGGGACUGAGACACGGCCCAGACUCCUACGGGAGGCAGCAGUGGGGAAUUUUGGACAAUGGGCGAAAGCCUGAUCCAGCAAUGCCGCGUGUGUGAAGAAGGCCUUCGGGUUGUAAAGCACUUUUGUCCGGAAAGAAAUCCUUGGCCCUAAUACGGUCGGGGGAUGACGGUACCGGAAGAAUAAGCACCGGCUAACUACGUG
RNAcentral lists this ribosomal RNA (487 nucleotides) under uncultured bacterium. RNAcentral describes it as "partial 16S ribosomal RNA". It matches the Rfam family "Bacterial small subunit ribosomal RNA", at positions 27 to 507 of the family's 1533-position model. The record is from RNAcentral.